RNAcentral lists this ribosomal RNA (497 nucleotides) under uncultured bacterium. Its description in RNAcentral is "partial 16S ribosomal RNA". It matches the Rfam family "Bacterial small subunit ribosomal RNA", at positions 28 to 507 of the family's 1533-position model. The record is from RNAcentral.
GAUGAACGCUGGCGGCGUGCCUAAUACAUGCAAGUCGAGCGAACGGACGAGAAGCUUGCUUCUCUGAUGUUAGCGGCGGACGGGUGAGUAACACGUGGAUAACCUACCUAUAAGACUGGGAUAACUUCGGGAAACCGGAGCUAAUACCGGAUAAUAUUUUGAACCGCAUGGUUCAAAAGUGAAAGACGGUCUUGCUGUCACUUAUAGAUGGAUCCGCGCUGCAUUAGCUAGUUGGUAAGGUAACGGCUUACCAAGGCAACGAUGCAUAGCCGACCUGAGAGGGUGAUCAGCCACACUGGAACUGAGACACGGUCCAGACUCCUACGGGAGGCAGCAGUAGGGAAUCUUCCGCAAAGGGCGAAAGCCUGACGGAGCAACGCCGCGUGAGUGAUGAAGGUCUUCGGAUCGUAAAACUCUGUUAUUAGGGAAGAACAUAUGUGUAAGUAACUGUGCACAUCUUGACGGUACCUAAUCAGAAAGCCACGGCUAACUACGUG